Molecule: ribosomal RNA, 599 nt
Filed under: Undibacterium sp. Ri2Ps_5141
Lineage: Bacteria; Pseudomonadati; Pseudomonadota; Betaproteobacteria; Burkholderiales; Oxalobacteraceae
Description: bacterial SSU rRNA
Rfam family: Bacterial small subunit ribosomal RNA
Source: RNAcentral
AAGGCCUUCGGGUUGUAAAGCUCUUUUGUCAGGGAAGAAACGGUGGUCGCUAAUAUCGGCUGCUAAUGACGGUACCUGAAGAAUAAGCACCGGCUAACUACGUGCCAGCAGCCGCGGUAAUACGUAGGGUGCAAGCGUUAAUCGGAAUUACUGGGCGUAAAGCGUGCGCAGGCGGUUAUAUAAGUCAGAUGUGAAAUCCCCGGGCUCAACCUGGGAACUGCAUUUGAGACUGUAUAGCUAGAGUGUGUCAGAGGGGGGUAGAAUUCCACGUGUAGCAGUGAAAUGCGUAGAGAUGUGGAGGAAUACCGAUGGCGAAGGCAGCCCCCUGGGAUAACACUGACGCUCAUGCACGAAAGCGUGGGGAGCAAACAGGAUUAGAUACCCUGGUAGUCCACGCCCUAAACGAUGUCUACUAGUUGUCGGGUCUUAAUUGACUUGGUAACGCAACUAACGCGUGAAGUAGACCGCCUGGGGAGUACGGUCGCAAGAUUAAAAACUCAAAGGAAUUGACGGGGACCCGCACAAGCGGUGGAUGAUGUGGAUUAAUUCGAUGCAACGCGAAAAACCUUACCUACCCUUGACAUGGAAGGAAUCCCGAA